AUCCAAUCAAGCCUGGCUUGGUAUUGGGCGUCGGGGUCCCCCGCGCCUCAAUUUCACCGGCUGGCCGUCGCCCGUCUUAGCGUUGUGACACAAUUCUCGCUAGCGAUAGGAGCGGACCACGCCGUCAGAACUCCACGAAUUUCAAUCGAAAUUUGAUUAAGGUUGACCUCGGAUCGGGUAGGAAUACCCGCUGAACUUAA
Molecule: unclassified non-coding RNA, 200 nt
Filed under: soil metagenome
Description: partial contains internal transcribed spacer 2 and large subunit ribosomal RNA
Source: RNAcentral